AUUAUACUCCCUCCGUCCCAAAAUUAUUGUCUUAGCUUUGUCUAGAAAUGAAUGAAUCAAAAUACUAGAAUGUGACUAGAUACAUUCAUAUUUAAACAAAUCUAAAACAAGAAUUUUGGGACGGAGGGAGUACUAA
Molecule: non-coding RNA, 136 nt
Organism: Hordeum vulgare subsp. vulgare (domesticated barley)
Lineage: Eukaryota; Viridiplantae; Streptophyta; Magnoliopsida; Poales; Poaceae
Source: Rfam